Molecule: ribosomal RNA, 253 nt
Filed under: uncultured bacterium
Lineage: Bacteria
Description: partial 16S ribosomal RNA
Rfam family: Bacterial small subunit ribosomal RNA
Source: RNAcentral
UACGAAGGGGGCUAGCGUUGCUCGGAAUCACUGGGCGUAAAGGGUGCGUAGGCAGGUCUUUAAGUCAGGGGUGAAAUCCUGGGGCUCAACUCCAGAACUGCCUUUGAUACUGAAGAUCUUGAGUUCGGGAGAGGUGAGUGGAACUGCGAGUGUAGAGGUGAAAUUCGUAGAUAUUCGCAAGAACACCAGUGGCGAAGGCGGCUCACUGGCCCGAUACUGACGCUGAGGCACGAAAGCGUGGGGAGCAAACAGG